GACGAACGCUGGCGGCGUGCCUAACACAUGCAAGUCGAACGGCAGCACGGUUAAGUACUUGUACUUAAUGGGUGGCGAGUGGCGAACGGGUGAGUAAUGCGCAGGAAUAUGCCUUAAAGAGGGGGAUAACUUGGGGAAACUCAAGCUAAUACCGCAUAAGCUCUGAGGAGUAAAGCUGGGGACCUUCGGGCCUGGCGCUUUAAGAAUAGCCUGCGUCCGAUUAGCUAGUUGGUAGGGUAAAGGCCUACCAAGGCGACGAUCGGUAGCUGGUCUGAGAGGAUGAACAGCCACACUGGGACUGAGACACGGCCCAGACUCCUACGGGAAACAGCAGUGGGGAAUAUUGGACAAUGGGGGCAACCCUGAUCCAGCAAUGCCGCGUGUGUGAAGAAGGCCUGAGGGUUGUAAAGCACUUUCAGUGGGGAGGAGGAUUGAUUGGUUAAGAGCUGAUUAAUUGGACGUUACCUACAGAAGAAGCACCGGCUAACUCCGUGCCAGCCGCCGCGGUAA
Molecule: ribosomal RNA, 510 nt
Filed under: uncultured bacterium
Lineage: Bacteria
Description: partial 16S ribosomal RNA
Rfam family: Bacterial small subunit ribosomal RNA
Source: RNAcentral